Molecule: ribosomal RNA, 1093 nt
Filed under: Frondihabitans sp.
Lineage: Bacteria; Bacillati; Actinomycetota; Actinomycetes; Micrococcales; Microbacteriaceae
Description: bacterial SSU rRNA
Rfam family: Bacterial small subunit ribosomal RNA
Source: RNAcentral
AACGAUGAACCAGAGCUUGCUCUGGGGAUUAGUGGCGAACGGGUGAGUAACACGUGAGUAACCUGCCCUUGACUCUGGGAUAAGCGUUGGAAACGACGUCUAAUACCGGAUAUGACACCUGACCGCAUGGUCUGGGUGUGGAAAGAAUUUUGGUCAAGGAUGGACUCGCGGCCUAUCAGGUAGUUGGUGAGGUAACGGCUCACCAAGCCGACGACGGGUAGCCGGCCUGAGAGGGUGACCGGCCACACUGGGACUGAGACACGGCCCAGACUCCUACGGGAGGCAGCAGUGGGGAAUAUUGCACAAUGGGCGAAAGCCUGAUGCAGCAACGCCGCGUGAGGGACGACGGCCUUCGGGUUGUAAACCUCUUUUAGUAGGGAAGAAGCGAAAGUGACGGUACCUGCAGAAAAAGCACCGGCUAACUACGUGCCAGCAGCCGCGGUAAUACGUAGGGUGCAAGCGUUGUCCGGAAUUAUUGGGCGUAAAGAGCUCGUAGGCGGUUUGUCGCGUCUGCUGUGAAAUCUGGGGGCUCAACCCCCAGCCUGCAGUGGGUACGGGCAGACUAGAGUGCGGUAGGGGAGAUUGGAAUUCCUGGUGUAGCGGUGGAAUGCGCAGAUAUCAGGAGGAACACCGAUGGCGAAGGCAGAUCUCUGGGCCGUAACUGACGCUGAGGAGCGAAAGCAUGGGGAGCGAACAGGAUUAGAUACCCUGGUAGUCCAUGCCGUAAACGUUGGGAACUAGAUGUAGGGGCCAUUCCACGGUUUCUGUGUCGCAGCUAACGCAUUAAGUUCCCCGCCUGGGGAGUACGGCCGCAAGGCUAAAACUCAAAGGAAUUGACGGGGGCCCGCACAAGCGGCGGAGCAUGCGGAUUAAUUCGAUGCAACGCGAAGAACCUUACCAAGGCUUGACAUAUACCGGAAACGUCCAGAGAUGGUCGCCCCGCAAGGUCGGUAUACAGGUGGUGCAUGGUUGUCGUCAGCUCGUGUCGUGAGAUGUUGGGUUAAGUCCCGCAACGAGCGCAACCCUCGUUCUAUGUUGCCAGCACGUUAUGGUGGGAACUCAUAGGAGACUGCCGGGGUCACUCGGAGGAAAG